GUCCAAGGCAUAUAAAUGAUCAUCGAACAAGUCCUGACCCGCUACUUCCCCUUCGACACAUUCGCAACGGAAGAAAAGUUGAACGUCUCGCCCCCACGGGGGGCCUCUGCCUUGCGUGUUUUAUCCGAUCGCUCAGCAAAUAUUAGUGGACAUGCAAGUAGCAGUGCCAACGGAAUUCCUGCCCGAGGCGUGGGACCCCCAGCGACCAGGGUGCAAAUGAUCAGGGGGCAGUAGAAAUCCGGGGCAGUAGAAAUCCGCGGCAGCCAACAACAAAGACUAAGAUCCCCCGUAUAGCCUCAAGAGACUUUUGGGGCAAGUGCUGUUAGUGAGGAACUCUGAAGGUCGGCAUGGAAGUCGAGGAGGUGGGCAGCCAGCACCACGCCCGCCCGCCUUUGUCGCCCCAGUGGUGAUGUUUACUCACCACAAAAGGACUGGUUCAGACACCGCUCGCCACUCUGACCACAGCCAAGGCUGGUGGAUCGUACAGCGCCCCUCUGCCUGAGCGGCGCGCUCUCUGUUGGAGGCACCGUCAAGUCGUCUCACGCGAGAUGCCCCACUGCACGGGGAGGUCCAGCACCAACCACAUCCCCACCGCCUUCAGCCGCGGGUUUCCUGCCCUCGCUACCAAAACUGUAUUUGCGUAUACUGUAAUGAGAAAAAUGCCCCGCGUACAUUUCCACAGUCCACGUUCCUCGUGAAGACUCCAUUUGCCCCUUGGAUUGAAUGAAUGAACAUGGUUUUCAGUUCUCUUAAAAAAAACAAUUCCCAACUUUCAAAUAAAAAUAUUACAGAGUGGAAAGAGAGUUUUUAUACGGCUAAAACCCGAUAAGAUUAGCACGGUGACACUUUUUAGCGAUGGAUGUUUUACCUGGGGCAAAGGCCUCAAGUCAUAUACCACUUCAUGAAUACCAUUAAUUACCAGUAUUUCCCAAUCAUAACGAACCCCUCCCGGACCCCGUGCAAUGAAUGGGCAUUUAUAUAUAUAAGUAAAAUUCUAAAUUCAUGCUUCCAUGACGUGUACUGUGAAUUUUGCAUAUGUACGACCACUAAAUUCAUCCGACGUUAAGGCCUAAGAACAUUGGGAAACACGCAUCCUGCAUUCUUGCCCAGAUGUGUGUUGCUUUCAUUGCACGCAGUAGGACAAAAACAAGUACUGCAUGUGAAUGUGGAGCAGCACAUGGCCAACAGUGACCUGCAUCAAAGAGAGCGUGGGGGAGCCUACUGAAGCAGAGAGCUCACUUACAAAAUUCGCGGUCGGAAAGACUUGGGACGCUGUAUUUCCGACAGCUUUGUUUCUUCACCUGAGGACGGCUGCUUGUGUUGUGGCCGAAACGUCGUGAUAAUUUUUUUAUUUUGUUAUGUUUUAUUUGUAUUAUUUUAUUAUUUCCCUUCUACGUGACUUUACCGAAAGAACCAAGAAGAUGAAUCCCUGCAGUCACUAAAGCUUUAAAUCGUUUAAUAAUAUUCGUUUCUUCUGAAAUUUUGUAUUAAUGACCAAAAAUAGUGUGGCGUAAAAUGUCUACUCGCCUGCCUGCCUGCAGAUUAAGUCCAAAUUCCCAAGUGGAGGCGUAUUCCGAAGAAACACGAAGACAAUUAACAACGCAAACUAUUUCACUCGCAAAAUCAGACAGCAGCCCCAGUGCAGUGAGCAGCAAAAAAAUCUCGCCCCUGGGUAAAAAUCAAUCUUAACGGCGUGUGUCCCAUUGUUCAAAGGCGUUUAGAGUCUUUAAUGCUAACAUCCGGUAGCAAGUGCACGCUCGCAAACGACCUGAGUUCUGCAAACACGCACACGCACGCAUCACCGUCUUACAAACGUGCACACCACCACCACCACCACUCGGCGUCAUGUACACAACCUCUGUGCCUCCAUUAAACGCAACGGUUUCGUCAGAGCGCCUCGCGCAAGCCAACUGUGUAAUUAUAACCGAACGUUUUUGCAAAAAAUAUCCGCUUUGCUACGGCCGACGGUGCUGGCACAGGUACUUCAAUUAAAGAAACCUCACGGCACGCCGCGGGGUCCAGGCCAGUAAUGAAGUAUGCGCAACGCCUCCAGCAGACUCAUUCAAGUGGCAAUGUUCACAAUUAGUCGGCUCGUGAACAUUGCCAGUGAAUGACACAAAAAACCGCGCAUUAGCGUCGAACACUGUGUAGCACACGGGAUUAAAAAAAUCGUAACGCGCAGUAUUUCCUAUGGGGCAAUACAUUCUGAAAUUAUAUGUUUCGUA
Molecule: long non-coding RNA, 2225 nt
Organism: Lethenteron reissneri (Far Eastern brook lamprey)
Lineage: Eukaryota; Metazoa; Chordata; Hyperoartia; Petromyzontiformes; Petromyzontidae
Source: RefSeq, a predicted model, not a curated record